Molecule: long non-coding RNA, 620 nt
Filed under: Vitis vinifera (wine grape)
Lineage: Eukaryota; Viridiplantae; Streptophyta; Magnoliopsida; Vitales; Vitaceae
Description: long non-coding RNA (VVIN_LNC003033)
Source: RNAcentral
GGGACGUGAUUUGAAACUAUACAUAUAAAACAAAAACAAAAAAACACAACAAAAACUUUAGCACCCAUCAACCAUCAAUAUCACAAAAACCCAAAAAACUGAGUAAUUUGGAACAACUUUCCCAUCUAAAAAUCACCAUUUAUUAAGAACUUUUUUCGCUCUCAAAAUGAAAACUUCAUCCCGAAAAAAUGUUCCCUUUUGGUCAUCCACUGCAUAGCUCAAUCCAAAAACACAAUCCAAUAAAUGGGUUUCACUAAAAAUGCAUUGUUUCCCAAUACCCAAAAACACCACUGGGAAAAAAAAAUUCCUUUUUUGCUAAUCAAUUCAAAAUAUGUUUUUCUCAGUUCUAAACCAAAACAAAAACAAAUGUCUUUUUCAACGAAACAAUUCCUAACCCAUAUUCUUGCCUUUACUUUAUAUCAAAACAACAAAGUUGGGAUAAUUUGUCAAUCCAAAUAAAACAGUACAAAAUCAGAACAAAAUCAGAUUUGCAAAAAGACGAUGAUGAUUCAUUACCAACAGAUUUAAAAUUUCAGUACCAACUCCUAAAUGCCAACAUUUCAGCCACGCCUGGUUCAGAAAAAACCCACACAAACAGCAGAUUUUCAUGAAUGAGAAUG